This 133-nucleotide non-coding RNA is filed under the name Pelusios castaneus (West African mud turtle). Lineage: Eukaryota; Metazoa; Chordata; Testudines; Pelomedusidae. The record is from RNAcentral.
UAGUUGUAUGAAAAGAGAGGUCAGCACACCUCUUGUUAAAGAUGAAAGAGGUCCUAGUGACCUUGAAAACAUGCACAUGGUUAAAGGAUUGCCAAUUACUUACUUGGUGGCAUCUAACUAAGCACAGCUUUUG